This is a small nucleolar RNA of Spea bombifrons (plains spadefoot toad), 178 nucleotides long. RefSeq annotates it as small nucleolar RNA SNORA81. The transcript has a single exon. NCBI's taxonomy places the organism in Eukaryota, Metazoa, Chordata, Amphibia, Anura, Pelobatidae. The record is from RefSeq and is a predicted model, not a curated record.
AUCUUCUUGUUUUAAGAACUCUGCUAAAAUUACUGUUCCUGGAUGUCUGGGUUCUGUAAUAAUGCUAACAGGGUACACACAGGAAGUAGAAUACAUGCACUCUUAUCGAUUUUGGACAUGGGUGGACCUCUUUCUUAAUGUCCAGUACCCUCUGUCUGAAAGAUUUGGUGCAACAACU